RNAcentral lists this ribosomal RNA (253 nucleotides) under uncultured bacterium. RNAcentral's name for it is "partial 16S ribosomal RNA". It matches the Rfam family "Bacterial small subunit ribosomal RNA", at positions 524 to 776 of the family's 1533-position model. The record is from RNAcentral.
UACGUAGGGGGCAAGCGUUAUCCGGAUUUACUGGGUGUAAAGGGAGCGUAGACGGCUGUGCAAGCCAGAUGUGAAAGCCCGGGGCUCAACCCCGGGACUGCAUUUGGAACUGUGUAGCUGGAGUGUCGGAGAGGCAGGCGGAAUUCCUAGUGUAGCGGUGAAAUGCGUAGAUAUUAGGAGGAACACCAGUGGCGAAGGCGGCUUACUGGACGAUGACUGACGCUGAGGCUCGAAAGCGUGGGGAGCAAACAGG